UACGGAAGGCAGCAGUGGGGAAUAUUGCACAAUGGGCGCAAGCCUGAUGCAGCCAUGCCGCGUGUAUGAAGAAGGCCUUCGGGUUGUAAAGUACUUUCAGCGGGGAGGAAGGCGGUGAAGUUAAUAGCUUCACCGAUUGACGUUACCCGCAGAAGAAGCACCGGCUAACUCCGUGCCAGCAGCCGCGGUAAUACGGAGGGUGCAAGCGUUAAUCGGAAUUACUGGGCGUAAAGCGCACGCAGGCGGUCUGUCAAGUCGGAUGUGAAAUCCCCGGGCUUAACCUGGGAACUGCAUUCGAAACUGGCAGGCUAGAGUCUUGUAGAGGGGGUAGAAUUCCAGGUGUAGCGGUGAAAUGCGUAGAGAUCUGGAGGAAUACCGGUGGCGAAGGCGGCCCCUGGGACAAAGCUGACGCUCAGGUGCGAAAGCGUGGGGAGCAAACGAGGAUUAGGAUA
RNAcentral lists this ribosomal RNA (452 nucleotides) under uncultured bacterium. RNAcentral's name for it is "bacterial SSU rRNA". It matches the Rfam family "Bacterial small subunit ribosomal RNA", at positions 340 to 784 of the family's 1533-position model. The record is from RNAcentral.